RNAcentral lists this ribosomal RNA (334 nucleotides) under uncultured eukaryote. RNAcentral's name for it is "partial 18S ribosomal RNA". It matches the Rfam family "Eukaryotic small subunit ribosomal RNA", at positions 1470 to 1796 of the family's 1831-position model. The record is from RNAcentral.
CCCUUAGAUGUCCGGGGCCGCACGCGCGCUACACUGAAGGAAUCAGCGUGGCUUUCUCCCUGACCCGAAAGGGUUGGGAAACCCGUUGAAUCUCCUUCGUGAUAGGGAUUGGGGCUUGAAAUUGUUCCCCAUGAACGAGGAAUUCCCAGUAAGCGCGAGUCAUAAGCUCGCGUUGAUUACGUCCCUGCCCUUUGUCCACACCGCCCGUCGCUACUACCGAUUGAACGGUUUAGUGAGGGCCUCGGAUUGGUCUCGGCCCGCUCUUUACCGGGCGGCGCCGUUGGUCGAGAAGACGCUCGAACUUGAUCGUUUAGAGGAAGUAAAAGUCGUAACA